RNAcentral lists this ribosomal RNA (239 nucleotides) under uncultured bacterium. RNAcentral's name for it is "partial 16S ribosomal RNA". It matches the Rfam family "Bacterial small subunit ribosomal RNA", at positions 98 to 339 of the family's 1533-position model. The record is from RNAcentral.
GCGCACGGGAGAGUAAUGCAUAGGAACGUACCUUAAAGUUUGGGAUAACCACUGGAAACGGUGGCUAAUACCGGAUGUGGAAGCAAUUCUAAAGAUGGCCUCUAUACUAUGCUAUCGCUUUAAGAUCGGCCUAUGUCCCAUUAGCUUGUUGGUGAGGUAAUGGCUCACCAAGGCUACGAUGGGUAGCUGGUCUGAGAGGAUGAUCAGCCUCACUGGGACUGAGACACGGCCCAGACUCC